Molecule: ribosomal RNA, 305 nt
Filed under: uncultured bacterium
Lineage: Bacteria
Description: bacterial SSU rRNA
Rfam family: Bacterial small subunit ribosomal RNA
Source: RNAcentral
CCUACGGGGCGCAGCAGUGAGGAAUAUUGGUCAAUGGGCGAGAGCCUGAACCAGCCAAGUCGCGUGAAGGAUGACGGCCCUAUGGGUUGUAAACUUCUUUUGUCAGGGAGCAAUUGAGUCCACGCGUGGGCUUAGCGAGAGUACCUGAAGAAAAAGCAUCGGCUAACUCCGCGCCAGCAGCCGCGGUAAUCCGGAGGAUGCGAGCGUUAUCCGGAUUUAUUGGGAUUAAAGGGUGCGUAGGCGGAAUAUCAAGUCAGCGGUAAAAAUUCGGGGCACAACCCCGUCGUGCCGUUGAAACUGAUGUU